GUCCAGACUCCUACGGGAGGCAGCAGUGGGGAAUAUUGCACAAUGGGGGAAACCCUGAUGCAGCGACGCCGCGUGAGCGAUGAAGUAUUUCGGUAUGUAAAGCUCUAUCAGCAGGGAAGAAGAUGACGGUACCUGACUAAGAAGCCCCGGCUAACUACGUGCCAGCAGCCGCGGUAAUACGUAGGGGGCAAGCGUUAUCCGGAUUUACUGGGUGUAAAGGGAGCGUAGACGGCGAUGCAAGCCAGAUGUGAAAGCCCGGGGCUCAACCCCGGGACUGCAUUUGGAACUGUGUGGCUGGAGUGUCGGAGAGGCAGGCGGAAUUCCUAGUGUAGCGGUGAAAUGCGUAGAUAUUAGGAGGAACACCAGUGGCGAAGGCGGCCUGCUGGACGAUGACUGACGUUGAGGCUCGAAAGCGUGGGGAGCAAACAGGAUUAGAUACCCUGGUAACC
This 449-nucleotide ribosomal RNA is filed under the name uncultured bacterium. Its description in RNAcentral is "bacterial SSU rRNA". It matches the Rfam family "Bacterial small subunit ribosomal RNA", at positions 329 to 795 of the family's 1533-position model. The record is from RNAcentral.